Molecule: ribosomal RNA, 383 nt
Filed under: uncultured bacterium
Lineage: Bacteria
Description: bacterial SSU rRNA
Rfam family: Bacterial small subunit ribosomal RNA
Source: RNAcentral
GACGAACGCUGGCGGCGUGCUUAACACAUGCAAGUCGAGCGGUAAGGCCCUUUCGGGGGUACACGAGCGGCGAACGGGUGAGUAACACGUGGGUGACCUGCCCUCAGCUCUGGGAUAAGCCUGGGAAACCGGGUCUAAUACUGGAUAUGACUCCAUGACGCAUGUUGUGGGGUGGAAAGCCUUGUGCGGCUGAGGAUGGGCCCGCGGCCUAUCAGCUUGUUGGUGGGGGAUGGCCUACCAAGGCGACGACGGGUAGCCGGCCUGAGAGGGCGACCGGCCACACUGGGACUGAGACACGGCCCAGACUCCUACGGGAGGCAGCAGUGGGGAAUCUUGCGCAAUGGGCGAAAGCCUGACGCAGCGACGCCGCGUGAGGGAUGACG